GACGAACGCUGGCGGCGUGCCUAAUACAUGCAAGUCGAGCGAACAGACGAGGCGUUUGCUCCUCUGACGUUAGCGGCGGAGGGGUGAGUAACAUGUGGAUAACCUACCUAUAAGACUGGGAUAAUUACGGGAAACCGGAGCUUAUACCGGAUAAUAUAUUGAACCGCAUGGUUCAAUAGUGAAAGACGGUUUUGCUGUCACUUAUAGAUGGAUCCGCGCCGCAUUGGUUAGUUGUUAAGGUAAAGGCUUACCAAGGCGAGGAUGCGUAGCCGACCUGAGGGGGUGGUCGGCCACACGGGAACUGAGACACGGUCCAGACUCCUGCGGGAGGGAGCAGUAGGGAAUCUUACGCAAUGGGGGAGAGCCUGACAGAGCAACGCCGAGUGAGUGAUGAAGGUCUUCGGAUCGGAAAGCUCUGUUAUUAGGGGAGAACAAAUGUGUAAGUACCUAUGCACGUCUUGACGGUACCUGGUCAGAAAGCCACGGCUAACUACGUG
This 497-nucleotide ribosomal RNA is filed under the name uncultured bacterium. Its description in RNAcentral is "partial 16S ribosomal RNA". It matches the Rfam family "Bacterial small subunit ribosomal RNA", at positions 28 to 507 of the family's 1533-position model. The record is from RNAcentral.